RNAcentral lists this ribosomal RNA (591 nucleotides) under Pseudomonas sp. SA031. RNAcentral describes it as "bacterial SSU rRNA". It matches the Rfam family "Bacterial small subunit ribosomal RNA", at positions 84 to 671 of the family's 1533-position model. Lineage: Bacteria; Pseudomonadati; Pseudomonadota; Gammaproteobacteria; Pseudomonadales; Pseudomonadaceae. The record is from RNAcentral.
CCUGGUGGCGAGCGGCGGACGGGUGAGUAAUGCCUAGGAAUCUGCCUGGUAGUGGGGGAUAACGCUCGGAAACGGACGCUAAUACCGCAUACGUCCUACGGGAGAAAGCAGGGGACCUUCGGGCCUUGCGCUAUCAGAUGAGCCUAGGUCGGAUUAGCUAGUUGGUGAGGUAAUGGCUCACCAAGGCGACGAUCCGUAACUGGUCUGAGAGGAUGAUCAGUCACACUGGAACUGAGACACGGUCCAGACUCCUACGGGAGGCAGCAGUGGGGAAUAUUGGACAAUGGGCGAAAGCCUGAUCCAGCCAUGCCGCGUGUGUGAAGAAGGUCUUCGGAUUGUAAAGCACUUUAAGUUGGGAGGAAGGGCAUUUACCUAAUACGUAAGUGUUUUGACGUUACCGACAGAAUAAGCACCGGCUAACUCUGUGCCAGCAGCCGCGGUAAUACAGAGGGUGCAAGCGUUAAUCGGAAUUACUGGGCGUAAAGCGCGCGUAGGUGGUUUGUUAAGUUGGAUGUGAAAUCCCCGGGCUCAACCUGGGAACUGCAUUCAAAACUGACAAGCUAGAGUAUGGUAGAGGGUGGUGGAAUUUCC